AGUGAACGCUGGCGGUAGGCCUAACACAUGCAAGUCGAACGGCAGCACAGUAAGAGCUUGCUCUUACGGGUGGCGAGUGGCGGACGGGUGAGGAAUACAUCGGAAUCUACUUUUUCGUGGGGGAUAACGGAGGGAAACUUACGCUAAUACCGCAUACGACCUACGGGUGAAAGCAGGGGAUCUUCGGACCUUGCGCGAUUCAAUGAGCCGAUGUCGGAUUAGCUAGUUGGCGGGGUAAAGGCCCACCAAGGCGACGAUCCGUAGCUGGUCUGAGAGGGUGAUCAGCCACACUGGAACUGAGACACGGUCCAGACUCCUACGGGAGGCAGCAGUGGGGAAUAUUGGACAAUGGGCGCAAGCCUGAUCCAGCCAUACCGCGUGGGUGAAGAAGGCCUUCGGGUUGUAAAGCCCUUUUGUUGGGAAAGAAAAGCAGCAGGUUAAUACCCCGCUGUUCUGACGGUACCCAAAGAAUAAGCACCGGCUAACUUCGUG
RNAcentral lists this ribosomal RNA (492 nucleotides) under uncultured bacterium. RNAcentral's name for it is "partial 16S ribosomal RNA". It matches the Rfam family "Bacterial small subunit ribosomal RNA", at positions 29 to 507 of the family's 1533-position model. The record is from RNAcentral.